This 253-nucleotide ribosomal RNA is filed under the name uncultured bacterium. RNAcentral's name for it is "partial 16S ribosomal RNA". It matches the Rfam family "Bacterial small subunit ribosomal RNA", at positions 524 to 776 of the family's 1533-position model. The record is from RNAcentral.
UACAGAGGGGGCAAGCGUUAUUCGGAAUUAUUGGGCGUAAAGCGUCCGCAGGUGGCUGUUCAAGUCUGCUGUCAAAGCGCAGAGCUUAACUCUGUAAAGGCGGUGGAAACUGUAGGUCUUGAGUAUGGUAGGGGUAGAGGGAAUUCCCGGUGUAGCGGUGAAAUGCGUAGAUAUCGGGAAGAACACCAGUGGCGAAAGCGCUCUACUGGGCCAUAACUGACACUGAGGGACGAAAGCUAGGGGAGCGAAAGGG